UGAAUUUGCAGUUUCACCUAGUAAUAAGGUAUUAUUUAGGCAUGCUACAAGACGGGUGAAGUUGGAGCAUGUACUAAACACUGUGUCAUCAUAAUCUACAUUGAAUGGUUCAUGUUUCUAUAUCAUAUUAACACACCCUAAAAAUUGCAUGGUAUAUCAUAACAAUAUUCUCUAUGUACACUAUGGUAGCUUGUGUUUAGAUCAUGGAUCCAUAGAAACUAUUUGUUUAGUUGUAUUUGAG
Molecule: unclassified non-coding RNA, 241 nt
Filed under: Hevea brasiliensis (rubber tree)
Lineage: Eukaryota; Viridiplantae; Streptophyta; Magnoliopsida; Malpighiales; Euphorbiaceae
Source: RNAcentral